AGUGGUCAGGAAGUUCUUGGCUAGGCCUCAACAUGAAGGAUUUGGAGCCAUUGUUAGAAGGAGCAUAGGAAGGUUUGAAUUGAAGUACUUUGAUCCUUUUCUUGUAUUGGAUGAGUUCUCUGUUACAGCCCCAGCUGGUUUCCCUGAUCAUCCACACAGAGGAUUCGAGACAGUUACCUACAUGUUGCAGGGAGCUAUGACACAUGAAGAUUUUGAAGGGCACAAGGGGACCAUAUGUACUGGUGACUUGCAAUGGAUGACUGCUGGAAGAGGGAUUGUUCACUCUGAGAUGCCUGCAGCUCAAGGAAUCCAAAAGGGUCUGCAGUUGUGGAUCAACCUCUCCUCAAAACAUAAGAUGAUUGAGCCAAAAUAUCAAGAAAUAUCCAGCAAGGACAUUGCAGAAGUAUCAAAAGAUGGGGUGAAGGUCAGGGUCAUAGCAGGAGAGGCAUUGGGGACAAAAUCACCAAUCUACACAAGGACCCCCACCAUGUACAUGGAUUUCAGUCUGAAACCAGGAGCUCACCUUCAACAACCCAUACCCAUAACUUGGAAUGCUUUUGUGUAUGUCUUGGAAGGUGAAGGCAUGUUUGGGAAUGCAAAAUCUCUGCCAAUAUCAGCUCACCACCUUCUUCUUUUAGGGAAUGGAGAUGGGUUGGAAGCAUGGAACAAGUCAUCUAAAACCCUAAGGUUCAUUUUGGUUGGAGGAGAACCACUGGGUGAGCCUUUGGUGCAAUGGGGGCC
This 741-nucleotide unclassified non-coding RNA is filed under the name Hevea brasiliensis (rubber tree). The record is from RNAcentral. Lineage: Eukaryota; Viridiplantae; Streptophyta; Magnoliopsida; Malpighiales; Euphorbiaceae.